CAGCAGCCGCGGGAAAACAGAGGGUGCGAGCGUUAAUCGGAUUUACUGGGCGUAAAGCGUGCGUAGGCGGCUUUUUAAGUCGGAUGUGAAAUCCCUGAGCUUAACUUAGGAAUUGCAUUCGAUACUGGGAAGCUAGAGUAUGGGAGAGGAUGGUAGAAUUCCAGGUGUAGCGGUGAAAUGCGUAGAGAUCUGGAGGAAUACCGAUGGCGAAGGCAGCCAUCUGGCCUAAUACUGACGCUGAGGUGCGAAAGCGUGGGGAGCAAACAGGAUUAGAUACCCGUGUAGUCCCUGUCUCUUAUAC
RNAcentral lists this ribosomal RNA (301 nucleotides) under uncultured bacterium. RNAcentral describes it as "partial 16S ribosomal RNA". It matches the Rfam family "Bacterial small subunit ribosomal RNA", at positions 509 to 807 of the family's 1533-position model. The record is from RNAcentral.